UGCAGUCGAACGAUGAAGCCCUUCGGGGUGGAUUAGUGGCGAACGGGUGAGUAACACGUGGGAAAUCUGCCCUGCACUCUGGGACAAGCCUUGGAAACGAGGUCUAAUACCGGAUAUGACCUGUCCUCGCAUGGGGAUGGGUGGAAAGCUCCGGCGGUGCAGGAUGAUCCCGCGGCCUAUCAGCUUGUUGGUGGGGUAACGGCCCACCAAGGCGACGACGGGUAGCCGGCCUGAGAGGGCGACCGGCCACACUGGGACUGAGACACGGCCCAGACUCCUACGGGAGGCAGCAGUGGGGAAUAUUGCACAAUGGGCGAAAGCCUGAUGCAGCGACGCCGCGUGAGGGAUGACGGCCUUCGGGUUGUAAACCUCUUUCAGCAGGGAAGAAGCGCAAGUGACGGUACCUGCAGAAGAAGCACCGGCUAACUACGUGCCAGCAGCCGCGGUAAUACGUAGGGUGCGAGCGUUGUCCGGAAUUAUUGGGCGUAAAGAGCUCGUAGGCGGCCUGUCGCGUCGGAUGUGAAAGCCCGGGGCUUAACCCCGGGUCUGCAUUCGAUACGGGCAGGCUGGAGUGUGGUAGGGGAGAUCGGAAUUCCUGGUGUAGCGGUGAAAUG
RNAcentral lists this ribosomal RNA (614 nucleotides) under Kitasatospora sp. D1604. RNAcentral's name for it is "bacterial SSU rRNA". It matches the Rfam family "Bacterial small subunit ribosomal RNA", at positions 56 to 688 of the family's 1533-position model. The record is from RNAcentral. Lineage: Bacteria; Bacillati; Actinomycetota; Actinomycetes; Kitasatosporales; Streptomycetaceae.